RNAcentral lists this ribosomal RNA (468 nucleotides) under uncultured bacterium. RNAcentral's name for it is "partial 16S ribosomal RNA". It matches the Rfam family "Bacterial small subunit ribosomal RNA", at positions 28 to 507 of the family's 1533-position model. The record is from RNAcentral.
GACGAACGCUGGCGGCGUGCUUAACACAUGCCAGUCGAACGGAAAGGCCCUGCUUUUGUGGGGUGCUCGAGUGGCGAACGGGUGAGUAACACGUGAGUAACCUGCCCUUGACUUUGGGAUAACUUCAGGAAACUGGGGCUAAUACCGGAUAGGAGCUCCUGCUGCAUGGUGGGGGUUGGAAAGGUUCGGCGGUUGGGGAUGGACUCGCGGCUUAUCAGCUUGUUGGUGGGGUAGUGGCUUACCAAGGCUUUGACGGGUAGCCGGCCUGAGAGGGUGACCGGCGACAUUGGGACUGAGAUACGGCCCAGACUCCUACGGGAGGCAGCAGUGGGGAAUAUUGCACAAUGGGCGGAAGCCUGAUGCAGCAACGCCGCGUGCGGGAUGACGGCCUUCGGGUUGUAAACCGCUUUCGCCUGUGACGAAGCGUGAGUGACGGUAAUGGGUAAAGAAGCACCGGCUAACUACGUG